Molecule: ribosomal RNA, 1164 nt
Filed under: Temnothorax muellerianus
Lineage: Eukaryota; Metazoa; Arthropoda; Insecta; Hymenoptera; Formicidae
Description: SSU rRNA
Rfam family: Eukaryotic small subunit ribosomal RNA
Source: RNAcentral
CAGCAGCCGCGGUAAUACCAGCUCCAAUAGCGUAUAUUAAAGUUGUUGCGGUUAAAAAGCUCGUAGUUGAAUCUGUGUCGCACACCGUCGGUUCACCGCUCGCGGUGUUUAACUGGCGUGAUGUGGGACGUCCUACCGGUGGGCUUAGCCUCGCGAGGGGCGGCCCAACUAAUAUCCCGUCGCGGUGCUCUUUACUGAGUGUCGAGUCGGGCCGGUACGCUUACUUUGAACAAAUUAGAGUGCUUAAAGCAGGCUAUCCUCGCCUGAAUACUGCGUGCAUGGAAAAUGGAAUAGGACCUCGGUUCUAUUUUGUUGGUUUUCGGAACCCCGAGGUAAUGAUUAAUAGGGACAGAUGGGGGCAUUCGUAUUGCGACGUUAGAGGUGAAAUUCCUGGAUCGUCGCAAGACGGACAGAAGCGAAAGCAUUUGCCAAAAAUGUUUUCAUUAAUCAAGAACGAAAGUUAGAGGUUCGAAGGCGAUCAGAUACCGCCCUAGUUCUAACCAUAAACGAUGCCAGCUAGCGAUCCGCCGAAGUUCCUCCGAUGACUCGGCGGGCAGCUUCCGGGAAACCAAAGCUUUUGGGUUCCGGGGGAAGUAUGGUUGCAAAGCUGAAACUUAAAGGAAUUGACGGAAGGGCACCACCAGGAGUGGAGCCUGCGGCUUAAUUUGACUCAACACGGGAAACCUCACCAGGCCCAGACACCGGAAAGAUUGACAGAUUGAUAGCUCUUUCUUGAUUCGGUGGGUGGUGGUGCAUGGCCGUUCUUAGUUGGUGGAGCGAUUUGUCUGGUUAAUUCCGAUAACGAACGAGACUCUAGCCUGCUAAAUAGGCGUACCUUAUGGUAUCUCGAAGGCCCCCGGCUUCGGCCGGCGGGUUUUUACUACCAACGUACAAACAAAUCUUCUUAGAGGGACAGCGGCUUCUAGCCGCACGAGAUUGAGCAAUAACAGGUCUGUGAUGCCCUUAGAUGUUCUGGGCCGCACGCGCGCUACACUGAAAGAAUCAGCGUGUGUUCCCUGGCCGAAAGGCCCGGGUAACCCGCUGAACCUCCUUCGUGCUAGGGAUUGGGGCUUGCAAUUGUUCCCCAUGAACGAGGAAUUCCCAGUAAGCGCGAGUCAUAAGCUCGCGUUGAUUACGUCCCUGCCCUUUGCACACACCGCCCGU